This 233-nucleotide long non-coding RNA is filed under the name Lathyrus oleraceus (garden pea). Its description in RNAcentral is "Pisum sativum (pea) long non-coding RNA (PSAT_LNC020543)". The record is from RNAcentral. Lineage: Eukaryota; Viridiplantae; Streptophyta; Magnoliopsida; Fabales; Fabaceae.
CCAAUCACUUUAUCUUUUGUCACCUUGGCUAAACACCAAUCAUUGGAUAAUGCCACACCCUUGUUUUUCAAGCAAAUUGCUUUGCCUCUUGGCAAUCUAAUCAAAUAUCUUUCUUUGUUCCGCAUUGGUUCCAUGAACUAUAGAGCUCUGACUUUCUCAUUGCAUGGUGAGAGGACGUAUGCACGAGAAUUCAAAUCCUUCGCAAGCACCCUAAUUAUUAUUUCUUCUUUCAC